ACGGCCGCAAGGUUAAAACUCAAAUGAAUUGACGGGGGCCCGCACAAGCGGUGGAGCAUGUGGUUUAAUUCGAUGCAACGCGAAGAACCUUACCUGGUCUUGACAUCCACGGAAGUUUUCAGAGAUGAGAAUGUGCCUUCGGGAACCGUGAGACAGGUGCUGCAUGGCUGUCGUCAGCUCGUGUUGUGAAAUGUUGGGUUAAGUCCCGCAACGAGCGCAACCCUUAUCCUUUGUUGCCAGCGGUCCGGCCGGGAACUCAAAGGAGACUGCCAGUGAUAAACUGGAGGAAGGUGGGGAUGACGUCAAGUCAUCAUGGCCCUUACGACCAGGGCUACACACGUGCUACAAUGGCGCAUACAAAGAGAAGCGACCUCGCGAGAGCAAGCGGACCUCAUAAAGUGCGUCGUAGUCCGGAUUGGAGUCUGCAACUCGACUCCAUGAAGUCGGAAUCGCUAGUAAUCGUGGAUCAGAAUGCCACGGUGAAUACGUUCCCGGGCCUUGUACACACCGCCCGUCACACCAUGGGAGUGAGUUGCAAAAGAAGUAGGUAGCUUAACCUUCGGGAGGGCGCUUACCACUUUGUGAUUCAUGACUGGGGUGAAGUCGUAACAAGGUAACCGUAGGGGAACCUGCGGUUGGAUCACCUCCUUACCUUAAAGAAGC
Molecule: ribosomal RNA, 663 nt
Filed under: Escherichia coli
Lineage: Bacteria; Pseudomonadati; Pseudomonadota; Gammaproteobacteria; Enterobacterales; Enterobacteriaceae
Description: bacterial SSU rRNA
Rfam family: Bacterial small subunit ribosomal RNA
Source: RNAcentral